GCGGGACACCUCCUCCUCCUAGACAUUCCCCAAGGACCGGACGAGAGCGCGGCUGACUGCGACUUAUGUCUAGAUUGGCCUAGACGUCCUAGUUGAGUCUUAGUCCUGGGAAGGGUCAGGCGGGUGGACGCUGAGUGAGGGACAGUGUUGUGUAGGACAAGGGUGUGGGCAGAUAGGGGCUAAAUGCUUGGGACGGUCAGCGAGAACCGCGUAUCCGCUCCGCCGAGGCAGGGCAUGAACCAAAGAGCGACAACAGACUAACUACCAGGGGGAACCACGGGCAGGAUGGGCAAGGAAGCAGAGGACACGACACUCUUACUUUUGGGGCAGGGCCAGGAAAGGCCACCAAGACCGGCUACCGUGACACAACUCUUUAUCUGAUUCAGUGGGUGGCUCUGAAAAGAGCCUUUUUAGGAGCUCGCGGGGGUUAUAUCACAGAGACGCGGGCCGACGCGAGCAGUGGCCUCACUUGCCCUUCGCCUUAUGGUGGCUCUCCGUCUUCUUGGGCAGCAGCACGGCCUGGAUGUUGGGCAGGACGCCGCCCUGCGCGAUCGUCACUUUGCCCAGCAGCUUGUUGAGCUCCUCGUCGUUGCGGAUGGCCAGCUGCAGGUGGCGCGGGAUGAUGCGCGUCUUCUUGUUGUCGCGGGCCGCGUUGCCCGCCAGCUCCAGGAUCUCGGCCGUUAGGUACUCCAGCACCGCCGCCAUGUAUACCGGCGCGCCGGCACCCACACGCUCCGCGUAGUUGCCCUUGCGCAGCAGCCGGUGCACACGCCCCACCGGGAACUGUAGCCCGGCCCGGGAAGACCGCGACUUGGCCUUGGCGCGGGCCUUGCCUCCUUGCUUGCCACGACCGGACAUCACGAAAGCGCAAACAGACGAACGGCCACAACCAGGAAACGGUACUCCGGCGCCGACGCCUCACCCUUUUAUAGACGCAGACCCGAUUGUCCGCCCGACGCUCUCAUUGGCUCACACGCGUCCUGACGCCGUGGCCAAUAGGAGCGCGCGGACAGAAGCCUCUCAUUUACAUAAGACCGGCUCCCUCGCCCCGGCGCCGCCCUGGAACGCGCGAAUCACGACGCGCGUGCUCGGUGGCUUCAUUUGCGUGCGGCCGUCGUUGCGACACUCCGCGGGUCGCCGGGCGGCUGGGCUUGCUCGCUGUUUCUCCUGCUCUGGAAGCUGGCAAAGUGUGCCCUGCAUCCAAGAGGGCCUGAGUUAAUCACUUACUUAAGUGUAGGUUUUCCUUCGAGGAAUACUGGAAAUUUAGUUUUUUAUACCUAAGGAGUAGCGGAUAAUUCUCAUAGCCUCUUUAUUUUUCUACUUGAAACAGUGUAAAACCUACUUGUUUCAUUUUAAGCGUUUAUCGCUGGGAGCCUUACUUUAAAAUCGUUAAAUUUAAAGGUUAUUUUCUUAAUCCAUACACAUCUGAGAGUGCUUGAAAAGACCAAGUACAGUUCGCCUGGGGUUUACUAAAAUUAUUUUUUUGCCACUCAGAUUUGUACAUAAGGAAUCGAAAUAACUUAAAAAGUAAACCUUACGCUGCUGCUUUUGUCUAUCAUUUGUCCUGAUGGCUCUCAGAAGCUCCUUUUAGGAGCCUUCCAGGCUGUCUGGGGCUAGAGUGACUCGGAGUACCAUAUCCGGACUGCCAUUAUUUUAGCAUCGCAUCAGUUAUGCUCGGUAAAAUACAGCCAGCAUUUUUCAAUCUCUGAAAUUUGUAAUAAGGUUCGUUAUCGAUGCAUUAGAAUCACUGAUUAGGCAUAUUGAGUGUAAGCUUAGCUCUAGUAACAGGUAUAUUGUUACAUAGUAACAUAGUUACAAUCUUUAUAUUUUACAUUGUUACAUAUUGUGGAGAUGGAAUUCUAGUCUUGUGGAGGAAUCGGCAAGAGUGUAGCACUAGGAUUUUGGGUUGAAGCUAGGUAGGCAGUGGAUUUUUUUGGAUUUUGGUGGGUUUUUUUGUUUGUUUGUUUGUUUUUUUUUUGGUUUUUUCGAGACAGGGUUUCUCUGUAUAGCCCUGGCUAUCCUGGAACUCAGUCUGUAGACCAGGCUGGCCUCGAACUAAGAAAUCUGCUUGCUUCUGCCUCCCAAGUACUGGGAUUAAAGGUGUGUGCCACCACCGCCAGGCUUAGGUAGGCAGUGUUAUUAGGAUGGCUAGCUGAAAAGCAUUUUAAGUUGAGAAGUUGAAGGUUUAUCAAGGAUUCUGAUUAAAUUUGAUAUUGAUAUUUAUGUGCAUAUGUGGACUCACAAAUUUGAGAGGUGGAUCAAGGGUUCAGCAAAGACUACACAACCCUGCAUUUAUGGACUGACUGCAGAUCACGAGAAUGACAUCCUAUGACCUUAGAAUAUACUUUUGAUCCUUAAGUAUUUGUCUUGAAAUAUAAUUUGGUACGUGUUAUUCCUGAUAUGUGUUAUUCCUAUAAAGGAUGUUAU
This 2427-nucleotide long non-coding RNA is filed under the name Mus musculus (house mouse). RNAcentral's name for it is "predicted gene 20632". Lineage: Eukaryota; Metazoa; Chordata; Mammalia; Rodentia; Muridae. The record is from RNAcentral.